This is a long non-coding RNA of Bos taurus (domestic cattle), 1785 nucleotides long. Lineage: Eukaryota; Metazoa; Chordata; Mammalia; Artiodactyla; Bovidae. The record is from Ensembl.
GCUUUUGAAUAUGCUUCUAGGUUGGUCAUAACUUUCCUUCCAAGGAGUAAGCAUCCUUUAGUUUCAUUGCUGCAAUCACCAUCUGCAGUGAUUUUGGAGCCCAAAACAUAAAGUCUGUCGCUGUUUCCAUUGUUUCCCUGUCUAUUUGCCAUGAAGUGAUGGGACCAGAGGCCAUGAUCUUAGUUUUCUGAAUGUUGAGUUUUAAGCCAACUUUUUUCACUCUCCUCUUUGACUUUCAUCAGGAGGCUCAUUAGUCCUUCGCUUUCUGCCGUAAGAAUGGUGUCAUCUGUAUAUCUGAGGUUGUUGAUAUUUCUCCUGGCAAUCUUGACUCCAGCUUGUGCUUCCUCUAGCCAAGCGUUUCUCAUGAUGUACUCUACAUAUAAGUUAAAAUAAGCAGGUUGAUAAUAUAUAGCCUUGGCGUACUUCUUUCAGGAUUUGGAACCAGUCUGUUGUUCCAUGUCCAGUUCUAACUGCUGCUUCCUGACCUGCAUACACAUGAGGCUAAUGGAAGCUUCCUGAUGGGAGAGACUGACUGAGGGGGAAACUGGGUCUUGUUCUGAUGGGUGAGGCCAUGCUCAGUUAAUCUUUAAUCCAAUCUGUUGAUGGUCUGGGCUGUUUUCACUCCCUGUUACUUGACCUGAGGCCACAGUAUGGUGGAGGUAAUGAAGAUUACCUCCUUCAAACGGUCCCAUGCUCUCACUGCUGCACGCAGUGCCCCCAAACCUGCAGGCCACCACUGACCCACACCUCAGCCAGAGACUUCUGGACACUCAUGGGCUAGUCUCCUGUGGGGUCACUGCUCCUUUCUCCUGGGUCCUGGUGCACACAAGGUUUUGUUUGUGCCCUCCAAGAGUCUCUUUCCCAGUCUUGUUUAAGUUCUGGCUGCUCUAUGGUGGGGUUAAUGACGACCUCCUUCAAGAGGGCUUAUGCCAUACCCACCAAGAAGCCUUUCAAAAACAGGUUUAACAAUAAAGGAACUCUUGAGAGGAAGCUCACAUUUGUUAAGCAUUUAUGUGUCAGACAUUAUGACUGAUACUGAAACUUUGCAGCAACCCAACAAAGAAGACAUUUCUCUUUUAUUACAAAGAAACUGGCUCAGGAAAUGGAAGGAAAGUAACAUCUGUGCUAUGUUCUAUGCCUAUUGGGGUUUGUUUUUGAAGAUUUUUUGAUGUGGAGCAUUUUUAAGGUCUUUUUUGAAUUUGUUAACAAUACUGUUUCUGUUUUUUUUUUAAUGUUUUGGUUUUUUGGCCCUGAGGUAUAUGGUAUCUUAGUUCCCCAACCAGGGAUUGCACUUGCACCCCCUGCAUUGGAAGGCAAACUCUUAACCACUGGACUGCCAUGGAAGUUCCUGUUUGUUUUUAAAGUAUGAAAAAGUAUAAAAGUAGUAUAUACACAAGCUAACUAGUAUUGAUCAUUUUAGGAUCAUUCUUAAGAUUUUAAAUAAAAUACUAUAAACAAAGACAUACUUUAAUCAAUCACCUUGCCCAUUCCCCUCCCUAAGAAAUUAUGAGUUCAGUGUUGCCUUUUCUGUUUAUUUUUAUACUUAGGUAUUCAUAAACAAAAUAUAGUCAUUCAGAUGUUGAAAUCUUGACACUUAUUUCAUUGGACUUUAUGCUUUGGGAUAGUCUUCUCUUAAUAGAUGAACUUAGUAUCUCUAUGUUUAUUAUCCUGGCAUGUAUAUUCCUGUCAUUGCAGUUGUUGUUAUGGAGGAUACAGGAACGAAUCUUCUCUUUCCUCCUUGUUCUUACAUUUAAAGCAGAUUUUAUCUUCCCCCGACCCCCCAAC